This 405-nucleotide ribosomal RNA is filed under the name uncultured bacterium. RNAcentral's name for it is "bacterial SSU rRNA". It matches the Rfam family "Bacterial small subunit ribosomal RNA", at positions 976 to 1380 of the family's 1533-position model. The record is from RNAcentral.
AAGGCUUGACAUGAAUUAGUAAGGCGCAGAAAUGCGUCCCCCUCUUGAGGCUGGUUUACAGGUGGUGCAUGGUUGUCGUCAGCUCGUGUCGUGAGAUGUUGGGUUAAGUCCCGCAACGAGCGCAACCCUCGUUCUAUGUUGCCAGCGCGUGAUGGCGGGGACUCAUAGGAGACUGCCGGGGUCAACUCGGAGGAAGGUGGGGACGACGUCAAAUCAUCAUGCCCCUUAUGUCUUGGGCUUCACGCAUGCUACAAUGGCCGGUACAAAGGGUUGCGAUACUGUGAGGUGGAGCUAAUCCCAAAAAGCCGGUCUCAGUUCGGAUUGGGGUCUGCAACUCGACCCCAUGAAGUCGGAGUCGCUAGUAAUCGCAGAUCAGCAACGCUGCGGUGAAUACGUUCCCGGGCC